GAUGAACGCUGGCGGCGUGCUUAACACAUGCAAGUCGAACGGAAAGGCCCUGCUUGCAGGGUGCUCGAGUGGCGAACGGGCGAGUAACACGUGGGUGAACUGCCCCUUACUUUGGGAUAAGCCUGGGCAACUGGGUCUAAUACUGGAUAGGACCAUGCUGUAGGUGGUGUGGUGGAAAGAUUAGUUUCGGUGAGGGAUGAGCUCGCGGCGUAUCAGCUUGUUGGUGGGGUAAUGGCCUACCAAGGCUUAGACGGGUAGCCGGCCUGAGAGGGUGGACGGCCGCAUCAGAACUGAAAGGCAGGCAGGAGUCCGGCGUGUUGCAGCAUGGGCGAAUAUUGGACAAAGGGCGCAAGCGUGAUGCAGCAACGCCGUGUGGUGGUUGACGGCCUUUGGGUUGUAAGCACCUAUCAGCCAUGACGAAGCCCUUGUGGGAACGGUAGUGGUAAAAGAGGCACCGGCAAACUAGGU
RNAcentral lists this ribosomal RNA (468 nucleotides) under uncultured bacterium. RNAcentral's name for it is "partial 16S ribosomal RNA". It matches the Rfam family "Bacterial small subunit ribosomal RNA", at positions 28 to 506 of the family's 1533-position model. The record is from RNAcentral.